This 429-nucleotide ribosomal RNA is filed under the name Verrucomicrobiota bacterium. Its description in RNAcentral is "Verrucomicrobia bacterium partial 16S ribosomal RNA". It matches the Rfam family "Bacterial small subunit ribosomal RNA", at positions 355 to 776 of the family's 1533-position model. The record is from RNAcentral. Lineage: Bacteria; Pseudomonadati; Verrucomicrobiota.
UAGGGAAUCUUCCGCAAUGGACGAAAGUCUGACGGAGCAACGCCGCGUGAGUGAAGAAGGAUUUCGGUUCGUAAAACUCUGUUGUUAGGGAAGAAAAAAUGUAUAGUAACUAUAUACAAAAGAGACGGUACCUAACCAGAAAGCCACGGCUAACUACGUGCCAGCAGCCGCGGUAAUACGUAGGUGGCAAGCGUUGUCCGGAAUUAUUGGGCGUAAAGCGCGCGCAGGUGGUUUAGAAAGUCUGAUGUGAAAGCCCACGGCUCAACCGUGGAGGGUCAUUGGAAACUAAUAAACUUGAGUGCAGGAGAGAAAAGUGGAAUUCCUAGUGUAGCGGUGAAAUGCGUAGAGAUUAGGAGGAACACCGGUGGCGAAAGCGGCUUUUUGGCCUGCAACUGACACUGAGGCGCGAAAGCGUGGGGAGCAAACUGG